Molecule: ribosomal RNA, 460 nt
Filed under: uncultured bacterium
Lineage: Bacteria
Description: partial 16S ribosomal RNA
Rfam family: Bacterial small subunit ribosomal RNA
Source: RNAcentral
CCUACGGGGGGCAGCAGUGAGGAAUAUUGGUCAAUGGGCGCUAGCCUGAACCAGCCAAGUAGCGUGAAGGAUGACUGCCCUAUGGGUUGUAAACUUCUUUUAUAUGGGAAUAAAGUGCAGUAUGUAUACUGCUUUGCAUGUACCUUAUGAAUAAGGAUCGGCUAACUCCGUGCCAGCAGCCGCGGUAAUACGGAGGAUUCGAGCGUUAUCCGGAUUUAUUGGGUUUAAGGGGAGCGUAGGCGGGUUGUUAAGUCAGUUGUGAAAGUUUGCGGCUCAACCGUAAAAUUGCAGUUGAUACUGGCAGCCUUGAGUACAGUAGAGGUAGGCGGAAUUCGUGGUGUAGCGGUGAAAUGCUUAGAUAGCACGAAGAACUCCGAUUGCGAAGGCAGCCUGCUGGACUGUAACUGACGCUGAUGCUCGAAAGUGUGGGUAUCAAACAGGAUUAGAUACCCCAGUAGUC